This is a long non-coding RNA of Sinocyclocheilus anshuiensis, 463 nucleotides long. RefSeq lists it as uncharacterized. Lineage: Eukaryota; Metazoa; Chordata; Actinopteri; Cypriniformes; Cyprinidae. The transcript has 4 exons. The record is from RefSeq and is a predicted model, not a curated record.
UCCGAUCUGGGAGCGCAGUGGUGCUGUAUCCUGAAGGUCCGGCUGCAACACAUACUCAUAGCUUGAAGCAAGUUGUACAUUACUGGGUUGCUCUAGGGGUUGGGAACCAAAACUGGAAAGAGACACAUAACUUGACUGCUCUGGCAUAGAAGGGAGCUGGAAUCCAGGCUGAAGAGACACAGAUUGGCCACUGGGCUGGGACACAGACUGGUACUGGUUUGUGCUGACUGCAAUCGACUGAGAUGGGAUAGAGCCUGGUACCUGGUUUGUGCUGACUGUGGGCCACUGGGUUGAGACACAGGCUGGUAUCGGGUCAGUCCUGGUUUUUGGCCACUAGGCUGUUGCAUAGACUGGUAGCUGGUUUGUGCUGACUGCAGGCCACUAGGUUGGGGCAAUGACUGGUAGCUGGUUUGUGCUGACUGCAGGCCACUAGGUUGAGAGACAGGCUGGUAUCGGUUCAGUC